RNAcentral lists this ribosomal RNA (279 nucleotides) under uncultured bacterium. Its description in RNAcentral is "partial 16S ribosomal RNA". It matches the Rfam family "Bacterial small subunit ribosomal RNA", at positions 506 to 784 of the family's 1533-position model. The record is from RNAcentral.
UGCCAGCAGCCGCGGUAAUACGGAGGGGGCGAGCGUUAUUCGGAAUUACUGGGCGUAAAGGGUGCGUAGGCGGCCCAUCAAGUUAGACGUGAAAGCCCCGGGCUCAACCUGGGAAUUGCGUUUAAUACUGGUGAGCUAGAGUACGAGAGAGGAAAGUGGAAUUCCUAGUGUAGCGGUGAAAUGCGUAAAUAUCAGGAGGAACACCGGUGGCGAAGGCGACCAUCUGGGACGGAACUGACGCUGAUGAACGAAAGCGUGGGGAGCAAACAGGAUUAGAUA